GGAGCGGUGGCCGAGUGGUUGAAGGCGGCGGUCUUGAAAACCGUUGUGCCGCGAGGUACCGGGGGUUCGAAUCCCCCCUGCUCCG
RNAcentral lists this transfer RNA (85 nucleotides) under Treponema phagedenis. It matches the Rfam family "tRNA". From Rfam's summary of the family: Transfer RNA (tRNA) molecules are approximately 80 nucleotides in length. Their secondary structure includes four short double-helical elements and three loops (D, anti-codon, and T loops). Further hydrogen bonds mediate the characteristic L-shaped molecular structure. tRNAs have two regions of fundamental functional importance: the anti-codon, which is responsible for specific mRNA codon recognition, and the 3' end, to which the tRNAs corresponding amino acid is attached (by aminoacyl-tRNA synthetases). tRNAs cope with the degeneracy of the genetic code in two manners: having more than one tRNA (with a specific anti-codon) for a particular amino acid; and 'wobble' base-pairing, i.e. permitting non-standard base-pairing at the 3rd anti-codon position. The record is from Rfam by way of RNAcentral. Lineage: Bacteria; Pseudomonadati; Spirochaetota; Spirochaetia; Treponematales; Treponemataceae. RNAcentral also lists the same sequence under 2 other names.